RNAcentral lists this small RNA (91 nucleotides) under Flavobacterium granuli. RNAcentral's name for it is "Flavo-1 RNA". It matches the Rfam family "Flavo-1 RNA". Lineage: Bacteria; Pseudomonadati; Bacteroidota; Flavobacteriia; Flavobacteriales; Flavobacteriaceae. The record is from RNAcentral.
CCCUAGCCCUGAUGGGAGUGAAAAUCCUUUCCUAGUGGUUCUGGAGCUUUGGAACCACUAGGAAAGAUUGCAACGUACAGCAGGAAUAGCU